Molecule: ribosomal RNA, 342 nt
Filed under: uncultured bacterium
Lineage: Bacteria
Description: bacterial SSU rRNA
Rfam family: Bacterial small subunit ribosomal RNA
Source: RNAcentral
ACUCCUACGGGAGGCAGCAGUGGGGAAUAUUGCACAAUGGGGGAAACCCUGAUGCAGCCAUGCCGCGUGUGUGAAGAAGGCCUUCGGGUUGUAAAGCACUUUCAGUAGGGUAGGAAGGUAGUGUAGUUAACACCUGCACUAUUUGUACGUUACCUACAGAAGAAGCACCGGCUAACUCCGUGCCAGCAGCCGCGGUAAGUACGGAGGGUGCGAGCGUUAAUCGGGAAUUACUGGGCGUAAAGCGCAUGCAGGCGGCCUGUUAAGUCAGAUGUGAAAGCCCGGGGCUUAACCUCGGAAUUGCAUUUGAAACUGGCAGGCUAGAGUCUUGUAGAGGGGUUAGAA